This 252-nucleotide ribosomal RNA is filed under the name uncultured bacterium. RNAcentral describes it as "partial 16S ribosomal RNA". It matches the Rfam family "Bacterial small subunit ribosomal RNA", at positions 527 to 779 of the family's 1533-position model. The record is from RNAcentral.
CGGAGGUGCAAGCGUUAUCCGGAUUCACUGGGUUUAAAGGGUGCGUAGGCGGGCAGGGAAGUCCGUGGUGAAAUCUCCGAGCUUAACUCGGAAACUGCCGUGGAUACUCUCUGUCUUGAAUACUGUGAAGGUGAGCGGAAUAUGUCAUGUAGCGGUGAAAUGCUUAGAGAUGACAUAGAACACCAAUUGCGAAGGCAGCUCACUGCGCAGUUAUUGACGCUGAGGCACGAAAGCGUGGGAUCAAACAGGAUU